This is a non-coding RNA of Ceratotherium simum simum (southern white rhinoceros), 208 nucleotides long. The record is from RefSeq and is a predicted model, not a curated record. NCBI's taxonomy places the organism in Eukaryota, Metazoa, Chordata, Mammalia, Perissodactyla, Rhinocerotidae.
AUGGCGGCGUGUAGUGCUCAGGCUCCUGGCUCCGAGCAAGCCUGGCUUGAGGCUGCCCAGGCCUUCAUCCAAGAGACCCUGUGUCCAGCUGACAAGGAGCCUAAUGUCCAGUUGACUCAGUUGGUUAUUGACUGUGUGAAGACUAUCUGGUUGUCCCAGGGAAGGAACCGGGGUUUUACACUGCCCCUCAGCUACAGCAUUGCCUCAG